RNAcentral lists this ribosomal RNA (467 nucleotides) under uncultured bacterium. RNAcentral describes it as "partial 16S ribosomal RNA". It matches the Rfam family "Bacterial small subunit ribosomal RNA", at positions 28 to 507 of the family's 1533-position model. The record is from RNAcentral.
GAUGAACGCUGGCGGCGUGCUUAACACAUGCAAGUCGAACGGAAAGGCCCAAGCUUGCUUGGGUACUCGAGUGGCGAACGGGUGAGUAACACGUGGGCGAUCUGCUCUGCACUUCGGGAUAAGCUUGGGAAACUGGGUUUAAUACCGGAUAGGACCACUUCUUGGAUGUUGUGGUGGAAAGUUUUUUCGGUGUUGGAUGAGCUCGCGGCCUAUCAGCUUGUUGGUGGGGUAAUGGCCUACCAAGACGUCGACGGGUAGCCGGCCUGAGAGGGUGUACGGCCGCAUUGGGACUGAGAGACGGCACAGACGCCGACUGGAGGCAGCAGUGGGGAAGAUUGCACAAGGGGCGCAAGCCGGAUGCAGCGACGCCGCGGGGGGGAUGACGGCCUUCGGGUUGUAAACACCUUGCGCUAGAGACGAAGCGUGUUGUGACGGUACCUGGAGAAGAAGCACCGGCUAACUACGUG